GACGAACGCUGGCGGCGUGCUUAACACAUGCCAGUCGAACGGAAAGGCCCUGCUUUUGUGGGGUGCUCGAGUGGCGAACGGGUGAGUAACACGUGAGUAACCUGCCCUUGACUUUGGGAUAACUUCAGGAAACUGGGGCUAAUACCGGAUAGGAGCUCCUGCUGCAUGGUGGGGGUUGGAAAGUUUCGGCGGUUGGGGAUGGACUCGCGGCUUAUCAGCUUGUUGGUGGGGUAGUGGCUUACCAAGGCUUUGACGGGUAGCCGGCCUGAGAGGGUGACCGGCCACAUUGGGACUGAACUACGGCCCAGCCUCCUCCGGGAGGCAGCAGUGGGGAAUAUUGCACAAUGGGCGGAAGCCUGAUGCAGCAACGCCGCGUGCGGGAUGACGGCCUUCGGGUUGUAAACCGCUUUCGCCUGUGACGAAGCGUGAGUGACGGUAAUGGGUAAAGAAGCACCGGCUAACUACGUG
Molecule: ribosomal RNA, 468 nt
Filed under: uncultured bacterium
Lineage: Bacteria
Description: partial 16S ribosomal RNA
Rfam family: Bacterial small subunit ribosomal RNA
Source: RNAcentral